AACCCUUUCUCAUGAAGUGCAGAUCCUCGAAGCCCAUUGCCUUCCACAUUGAAAUCUGCACAACGGAAUAGAUGGUCGCACCGUCACUUCAAUUAGCAAAACAAGAAUGAGUUCAGACCUUUCAACAUAUGCAACCGACGAUACGCUUGAUACUUGGCACAGACAAACUCGAAGAAAGAGCACAAAUUACCACAAAUACAUAGGGGUACGCAUUUCCAUUGUGUGUUUUUCUACAACCAUGCUAACAUCAUCCUUGAACGAAUGAGAAAAAAACCUAGACAAAAACAUUCAUAACGUGCGCCACAACAUGAGGCAACGAAGGUCACUUCCCAUGUCACCAAUCCUCCUCCUACUCCUCCUCCUCCUCCUCCUUCUUCUUCCUUUUUCCCCCCUAAAACAAUUACACCGGUGACGCAUAUAACCAUGGAUGCCGCGCAAUACUCGACUCGGAAGACCAUCGGGAUUUCAAAAACCUUCGUGAGAAAAGCACAAUUCUCGCGAUUCCAUCUCACCGCCACCGGAAAUUAAGGAAUCAAACCAGACGCCACUCCACAGUACUGUUCGAUCGAAUUCCGCUCCGCGCCUUCCCGGCCGCGCCACGGCACGAGCCACGGCCGGCGGUCGCGAUCGAUACGACAUCGAGACGGCAAAGCGGACGCACGAUCGCACGCUCCACCGAACCCCCGGCGCGCGCAAUUCUCGAACCGAACGAAAGCACGACGCGCCGCGAUCGUCCCUCCGAGGCUCAACCCGUACAGACGGUCGGAGAACGAACGAGCAGCGAGAAAGAGAGAGAGAGAGGAAGGCUCUCGCGAAGCCGAGGCGAUCGACGGAAAGGCACGAAGAGACCGGGGGGGAAAAAAAGACGUGGGAGGAAAAGGGCGGGUUACCUAAGUUGCAGUCGGCGGGGUUGAGCGCCACGUGGCGGCGGCGGGUGCGGUGGUGCUCCGGCUCCGAGGCGGAGGCGCCGCCGUGCCUCGUCCUCUUGGGGUUCGGGUCGAAGUAGUCUUCGCCGGGAGGUUCGCGCUUCAGGGAAGCCAUUUCGCCACCCCGAGUCUGAAGCUGAAUCAGUUCCGGCACAAGAGAGAGAAAGAGAGAGAGAGAGAGAGAGAGAAG
RNAcentral lists this long non-coding RNA (1116 nucleotides) under Eucalyptus grandis. RNAcentral describes it as "long non-coding RNA (EGRA_LNC003263)". The record is from RNAcentral. Lineage: Eukaryota; Viridiplantae; Streptophyta; Magnoliopsida; Myrtales; Myrtaceae.